This is a long non-coding RNA of Xenia sp. Carnegie-2017, 192 nucleotides long. RefSeq lists it as uncharacterized. The record is from RefSeq and is a predicted model, not a curated record. Lineage: Eukaryota; Metazoa; Cnidaria; Anthozoa; Malacalcyonacea; Xeniidae. The transcript is spliced from 3 exons.
ACCGAAUUGGCUUCUGAGAAGGAUAGCAGAAUCUCUUGUCUUUGUGAGCAAUGGAACAUUGUUCUUCAAUUUGGCAUUAAAUCCACAAAAAAGAUAAAUUCUUUAAGCUCAAGCAUGGCUUAGGUCUAGUUUAAACGAGCAAUCACUGGAGAAAUAUCUUCAUAGCUUCAUUGGGCAUAAACAAUUGCUUUU